CAUUCCCGACCCCGGAUCCGCGGGGAGAGCCCGGGGGGCUCGGCUGGAGAAGAGGGAAGGCGGAUCCGCGCUGGCUGCGGAGAGGGAGGCUCCGUGCCUUUGGCAGCCGGGCUCGGCCUGGAGGUGCUGAGCUGAGGCAGCGCCGGGGAAUCGCUGUCUGUCCGUCCGUCCGUGCGUCCUGCUGCUGCACAAAGCUUCGCACUGGGGUGUGCUUACCUUCCCCGCCUGUGCUGGAGAAGGACGUUUGUCUGUCUGUCUGUCUGUCUGUGCACUGAGCUGCCUUGGCCCAGGCUGGGCUGUGGGACUGGGGACAAUCCCCCACAGCCAGGUGUUUGGGGACAAUCCCCACGGCUGGGUGUUUGGGGACAAUUCCCCCAUGGCCGGGUGUUUGGGGACAAUUCCCCCACGGCUGGGUGUCUGGGGACAAUCCCCACAGCCAGGUGUCUGGGGACAAUCCCCACGGCUGGGUGUCUGGGGACAAUCCCCAUGGCUGGGUGUUUGGGGACAUUCCCCAUGGCUGGGUGUUUGGGGACAAUCCCCAUGGCCAGGUGUUUGGGGACAUUCCCCACAGCCAGGUGUUUGGGGACAAUCCCCAGGACCAGGUGUCCAUCUCAGUGUCCCCAAGUGUGGGGACAGCCCAGUGGCUCUGCGGGUGCUCUGCUGCUUCUUGGCUUUCAUGGACAAUAAAGACACGAGGCCCCGAGCUCUGCCAGGCCGUGCA
Cyanistes caeruleus (blue tit) is the source of this 721-nucleotide non-coding RNA. The record is from RefSeq and is a predicted model, not a curated record. Lineage: Eukaryota; Metazoa; Chordata; Aves; Passeriformes; Paridae.